Long non-coding RNA from Equus quagga, 768 nucleotides. RefSeq lists it as uncharacterized. NCBI's taxonomy places the organism in Eukaryota, Metazoa, Chordata, Mammalia, Perissodactyla, Equidae. The record is from RefSeq and is a predicted model, not a curated record. The transcript has 4 exons.
CUAAGCUGAGGCAUUUGGGGACUCGUUAGCACUCCUGCACUGCUGAACCAUUGGUGGUCGGAGGUGCUGCCAAGCCCGAGGCCCAGUAGUGUCUGCUCUCUGCUCAGAAUAGAAGGAGGAUGCGCUGACUCUGUGGAAUCAGAUAAAUUUGAGUUAAAAUCUCAGCUCUCCACAUAGAAUCUGUGUGACCUUUGGAAAUUCUACCUCCUUGAUGUAUAAAAUGGAAAAGAAUAACUGACGCACAACUCAGACCUGAUACUGGACCAGUUCCAGACUUAAGCUUAAGAAGUCUUGGCAAUUUUUUGCUUUUGCACUUUUGAAGAGUCCUGAACUGCCAUAUAAGAAGUCUGGCUACUCUGCUGGAGAGAUCACCUGGAGAAGUGACUUAGGCCAUGCAGAAAUGGAGAGACCCUGAGAUUACAUGGAGGAAGAGGCCCCGUCACCCUAGCAGCUUGUCUGAGCCCCGCCUUCCAACCGUCCUCACUAAGGCACCGGCAUGUGAACGUGCCAUCUUGGAUGUUCCAGCCUAGUGGAACCCCCAAAUGACUGAAGCUCCAUCUGACAUCACAUUGGAGCAGAACUGCCCAGCUGAGGCCAAUCAAUCCACAGUAUCAUGACAGAUAACACAAUGAAGUCACUGAAUUUUGGAGUGGUUUAUUACGCAGCCAUAAAUAACUGAAAGGAAUAUUUUUGUUUUGUUUUCCCUAAAUCUUCUAAUCCCACAGGUGUUUGUGGGCUUUGCUGUUCUUAGAGCUCUUCAGGGAAGAA